Molecule: ribosomal RNA, 541 nt
Filed under: uncultured bacterium
Lineage: Bacteria
Description: bacterial SSU rRNA
Rfam family: Bacterial small subunit ribosomal RNA
Source: RNAcentral
AAUAGAUACCCGGGUAGUCCACGCCGUAAACGAUGUCGACUUGGAGGUUGUUCCCUUGAGGAGUGGCUUCCGGAGCUAACGCGUUAAGUCGACCGCCUGGGGAGUACGGCCGCAAGGUUAAAACUCAAAUGAAUUGACGGGGGGCCCGCACAAGCGGUGGAGCAUGUGGUUUAAUUCGAUGCAACGCGAAGAACCUUACCUACUCUUGACAUCCACGGAACUUUUCAGAGAUGAAUUGGUGCCUUCGGGAACCGUGAGACAGGUGCUGCAUGGCUGUCGUCAGCUCGUGUUGUGAAUGUUGGGUUAAGUCCGCAACGAGCGCAACCCUUAUCCUUUGUUGCCAGCGGUUAGGCCGGGAACUCAAAGGAGACUGCCAGUGAUAAACUAGGAGGAAGGUGGGGAGUGACGUCAAGUCAUCAUGGCCCUUACGAGUAGGGCUACACACGUGCUACAAUGGCGCAUACAAAGAGAAGCGACCUCGCGAGAGCAAGCGGACCUCAUAAAGUGCGUCGUAGUCCGGAUUGGAGUCUGCAACUCGACU